GACUCAUUGUUCAAUGUUGGAAUGUAUUGCAGACACAUUUUGGCAUCCAUCCACUUCAACAACAACUUAAGGCGUGAUGUAAAGAUGAAGAAUGAUGGCACUUUCCAAAUAAAUGUGGUGUAUCCAAAGUUCAAAAAUGGUGAAGGAACUGUAAGGGAUGUCAGAGUUAAGCCCAAAUUUGAGUAUGUGGAUGAAUUAUUUGAGAGUGUGAUGCUGUCAAUAAAAGACAAAGAUGCAUUAUCAAAUUCACAAAUCUUUUGAAAGAAAUGUCCCCACCACCAAUGAAUAUCAUGUUGCAAAAGCAACCCAGAUUUGAGGUGCUACUAAAACAGGUCCGUCGAAAAUGCAUUGUGGUCAAUGAUGUCCCCCCCUCAAUUCCAGGUAAUUAAUAAUGAUUAUACAACAUGUUGUAGCUAAACAUGGUUUGAAAAUCAUUUUAAAUAAUAAAAAUGUUUUUGUUUCAUGCCAGCAGCUACCAGUGUGCCAUUCAGCUCUCAAAAGUGGCAGUUUCAAAAGAAAAAAGUCAGCCAAAAUGUUUGACAUGCAAGAAGCCAAUGAAAGGUCACAAACAUGUGGCAGAUUGCCCAAAAAAUAGGAAAACUUAAUUUUCACAUCACUCAUUUGUUUCAUUUUCUUCAUACCCUCUAAAUUCCAACUUUUUAUCAUUAAAUUUUGAUCUUAUUGCAUGGUAUGCACAUGCUGGUAAUGGUCUUCUUUCUUCUCCUAAGCAUCCAUAAAUCAUAGAUGUGAAUUCUCUGUAUGUAACACAUCGUAAAAACCUGAAUAUAAAGCCAAAUCGUUACUAAUGUGUCAUAACACUAAAAUAUACUUAAAUACUGGGAAAUAACAUAAUAUGCUAUCAUA
Xenia sp. Carnegie-2017 is the source of this 864-nucleotide long non-coding RNA. RefSeq lists it as uncharacterized. The transcript has 3 exons. The record is from RefSeq and is a predicted model, not a curated record. NCBI's taxonomy places the organism in Eukaryota, Metazoa, Cnidaria, Anthozoa, Malacalcyonacea, Xeniidae.